UGGGGAAUCUUGCACAAUGGGCGAAAGCCUGAUGCAGCAACGCCGCGUGCGGGAAGACAGCCCUAGGGUUGUAAACCGCUUUCAGCAGGGAAGAAACUGACGGUACCUGCAGAAGAAGAUGCGGCCAACUACGUGCCAGCAGCCGCGGUGACACGUAGGCAUCAAGCGUUAUCCGGAUUUAUUGGGCGUAAAGAGCUCGUAGGCGGUUCGGUAAGUCGGGUGUGAAAACUCUGGGCUCAACCCAGAGAGGCCACUCGAUACUGCUGUGACUAGAGUGCGGUAGGGGAGCGGGGAAUUCCUGGUGUAGCGGUGAAAUGCGCAGAUAUCAGGAGGAACACCAGUGGCGAAGGCGCCGCUCUGGGCCGUAACUGACGCUGAGGAGCGAAAGCAUGGGUAGCAAACAGGAUUAGAUACCCUGGUAGUCCAUGCCGUAAACGAUGAAUGCCAGUCGUCGGGUAGCAUGCUAUUCGGUGA
This 474-nucleotide ribosomal RNA is filed under the name uncultured bacterium. RNAcentral describes it as "bacterial SSU rRNA". It matches the Rfam family "Bacterial small subunit ribosomal RNA", at positions 355 to 846 of the family's 1533-position model. The record is from RNAcentral.